Molecule: ribosomal RNA, 160 nt
Filed under: Combretum collinum subsp. hypopilinum
Lineage: Eukaryota; Viridiplantae; Streptophyta; Magnoliopsida; Myrtales; Combretaceae
Description: 5.8S ribosomal RNA
Rfam family: 5.8S ribosomal RNA
About the family: 5.8S ribosomal RNA (5.8S rRNA) is a component of the large subunit of the eukaryotic ribosome. It is transcribed by RNA polymerase I as part of the 45S precursor that also contains 18S and 28S rRNA.
Source: RNAcentral
UAAUCUAAACGACUCUCGGCAACGGAUAUCUCGGCUCUCGCAUCGAUGAAGAACGUAGCGAAAUGCGAUACUUGGUGUGAAUUGCAGAAUCCCGUGAACCAUCGAGUCUUUGAACGCAAGUUGCGCCCGAGGCCUCGGCCGAGGGCACGCCUGCCUGGGU